Molecule: transfer RNA, 70 nt
Filed under: Neotoma lepida (desert woodrat)
Lineage: Eukaryota; Metazoa; Chordata; Mammalia; Rodentia; Cricetidae
Rfam family: tRNA
About the family: Transfer RNA (tRNA) molecules are approximately 80 nucleotides in length.
Source: Rfam by way of RNAcentral
GGAGAGAUGGCUCAGCGGUUAAGAGCACUGGCUGUUCUUCCAGAGGACCUGGGUUCAAUUCCCAGCACCU